CACUCGAUAUCACGGUAUGUCUAAUUUGAAAUUUGUUUUCCAGGGCUGAAUUUGGACGGACUUGGUUUUGUGCCCCUGAAUCGAGAAGAAGGAUUGCCCAAUUUUAGAAGAGUGAUGGCUGUGAGACGGCAUCUAAAGGAUCGGUCUGUGCAUGAAACUCAAGGACGGCCAGCCGCUGAAACAGGCUUCAUUCAAAUUCAACAGAUCUUUCCUUUGGAGACUCUGGACAAGCUCCAGUCAAUCUGAACAAAUAACUUGGAGGCCAUAUGGAGAAAGGAUUUUCCCUUGGAAGUGUGGGCUUGUGGCUUUGCAGUGCUGGUGAUCCCUAGGUGGAGAUGGAGCAUGAAGAUCCUCCAGGGGAAUGGCUCACCACCCCUGGGCAACAGGCCUAGCCCAGGAGAUUUUAAGGAGACACUUCCUGAACCCAGCGUGGAAGAUAAAGAUAAAGACAAUCACUCUACAUAAAGACAGGAGAAAAGCUGCUGCAGCAAUGGCAGUGAUCACACGACCAAGUCAUUCUACUCUGUCUGGUUCUCCAAGUCUCCCAGGAAGCUCUGGAGGAGAACAUCGCCAGCUGUUCACAUUUUUCAGGAUGCACUGUGCUCCUACUCCACCUACCAAAUCGUUACCCCGCCCCAAAGCUGGGUCAACGGCAGAGUGA
This 661-nucleotide long non-coding RNA is filed under the name Meriones unguiculatus (Mongolian gerbil). RNAcentral describes it as "lncRNA (ENSMUGG00000010136.1)". Lineage: Eukaryota; Metazoa; Chordata; Mammalia; Rodentia; Muridae. The record is from RNAcentral.